RNAcentral lists this ribosomal RNA (497 nucleotides) under uncultured bacterium. Its description in RNAcentral is "partial 16S ribosomal RNA". It matches the Rfam family "Bacterial small subunit ribosomal RNA", at positions 36 to 507 of the family's 1533-position model. The record is from RNAcentral.
GGGGGGGGGGGGGGGGGGGGGGGGGAGGGGCGGGGGGGGGGAACGGGCGGGGGGGUUGCUGCGCUGGCGUUAGCGGCGGAGGGGUGCGUAACAGGUGGAUGACCUACCUAUAAGAGUGGGAUAACUUCGGGAAACCGGAGCUAAUACCGGAUAAUAUAUUGCACCGCGUGGUUCAGUAGUGAAGGGCGGUGUUGCUGUCACUUAUAGAUGGGUCGGCGCCGCAUUAGCUAGUUGGUAAGGUAACGGCUUACCAAGGCGACGAUGCGUAGCCGACCUGAGAGGGUGAUCGGCCACACUGGAACUGAGACACGGUCCAGACUCAUACGGGAGGCAGCAGUAGGGAAUCUGCCGCAAUGGGCGAAAGCCUGACGGAGCAACGCCGCGUGAGUGAUGAAGGUCUUCGGAUCGUAAAACUCUGUUAUUAGGGAAGAACAAAUGUGUAAGUAACUAUGCACGUCUUGACGGUACCUAAUCAGAAAGCCACGGCUAACUACGUG